UUAACUUAAUAAAAUCAUCCACUACAUAAUCAUUCAUUAUCUUUAUAAUUAACCAUCUAAAGCUACCACAGUUCUUCAAUCAAAGUAUAUAUCUACAUAUAUAGAGAGAGAGUACACUUCAAAAUUUCGUCCCUUGUCUUCCGUAAACAUAGCACGGAAAUUUGAUACCCAGUAUUGUAAGGCAAGUCGUAGAAGCAGUCUUCCUGCACAUUUAAAAAUAAUAGCAAGUUAGAAAAAUGAAGCAAAUAGGUCACCAGAGGCACUUAAUGCCAAAAUCAAUACACAAAGACAAUAGAAUUGCUACGUGGUACAAUGUCAAGGCUUAGCUCCUAUUUCA
Molecule: long non-coding RNA, 337 nt
Filed under: Panax ginseng (ginseng)
Lineage: Eukaryota; Viridiplantae; Streptophyta; Magnoliopsida; Apiales; Araliaceae
Description: long non-coding RNA (PGIN_LNC002387)
Source: RNAcentral